ACCACGACCCCAGGUCAGGCGGGGCCACCCGCUGAGUUUAAGCAUA
This 46-nucleotide ribosomal RNA is filed under the name Asparagus officinalis (garden asparagus). RNAcentral describes it as "partial large subunit ribosomal RNA". The record is from RNAcentral. Lineage: Eukaryota; Viridiplantae; Streptophyta; Magnoliopsida; Asparagales; Asparagaceae.